AGGCACGAAAGAAGUACAAAGCUCCACCACCAUCUUCAAAUCCAGCUAAAUCUAAUGGUGAAGUGGAACAAAGGAAAGCAAAAGGAGAAGAAGUGGAGUUAGUUGAAGAACAAAGAUCAUGAUGAAGAUGGAUGUCCCCUGUGAGUCUCGGGUCAAAUAUGUGCUUUUGACGCAUUUCUUUCUUACAGUUUUGAAAAUUUGUGUAAUGGGAUUGUUGAUACAGGACA
Molecule: long non-coding RNA, 227 nt
Organism: Papaver somniferum (opium poppy)
Lineage: Eukaryota; Viridiplantae; Streptophyta; Magnoliopsida; Ranunculales; Papaveraceae
Exons: 3
Source: RefSeq, a predicted model, not a curated record